RNAcentral lists this ribosomal RNA (877 nucleotides) under uncultured archaeon. Its description in RNAcentral is "bacterial SSU rRNA". It matches the Rfam family "Archaeal small subunit ribosomal RNA", at positions 21 to 903 of the family's 1478-position model. The record is from RNAcentral.
CCUGACUGCUAUCGGAUUGAUACUAAGCCAUGCGAGUCUUUGCAGUAAUGCAAGGCAUACGGCUCAGUAACACGUAGUCAACCUACCCUAUGGACGAGAAUAAUCUCGGGAAACUGAGCAUAAUUCUUGAUAGAUCAUAAUGCCUGGAAUGGUUUAUGGUUAAAAUGAUUCGUCGCCAUAGGAUGGGACUGCGGCCUAUCAGCUUGUUGGUGAGGUAAUGGCCCACCAAGGCGAUUACAGGUACGGGCUCUGAGAGGAGAAGCCCGGAGAUGGGUACUGAGACACGGACCCAGGCCCUAUGGGGCGCAGCAGGCGAGAAAACUUUGCAAUGUGCGAAAGCACGACAAGGUUAAUCCGAGUGAUUUCUGCUAAAGAAAUCUUUUACCAGUCGUAAAACCGCUGGUGAAUAAGGGGUGGGCAAGUUCUGGUGUCAGCCGCCGCGGUAAAACCAGCACCUCAAGUGGUCAGGAUGAUUAUUGGGCCUAAAGCAUCCGUAGCCGGCUUUGUAAGUUUUCGGUUAAAUCCAUGUGCUCAACGCAUGGGCUGCCGAAAAUACUGCAUGGCUAGGGAGUGGGAGAGGUAGACGGUACUCAGUAGGUAGGGGUAAAAUCCUUUGAUCUAUUGAUGACCACCUGUGGCGAAGGCGGUCUACCAGAACACGUUCGACGGUGAGGGAUGAAAGCUGGGGGAGCAAACCGGAUUAGAUACCCGGGUAGUCCCAGCUGUAAACGAUGCAGACUCGAUGAUGCAUUGGCAUAAUAGCCAUUGCAGUGUCGCAGGGAAGCCGUUAAGUCUGCCGCCUGGGAAGUACGUACGCAAGUAUGAAACUUAAAGGAAUUGGCGGGGGAGCACGAGCAAGGGGUGAAGCCUGCGGUUC